GUGACCUAGCCAUGAGCAGGCUGAAGUGGAGGUAAAACUCCAUGGAGGGCCGAACCCACUCCCGUUGAAAUGGUAGGGGAUGACUUGUGGCUAGCGGAGAAAUUCCAAUCGAACUCGGAGAUAGCUGGUUCUCUCCGAAAUAGCUUUAGGGCUAGCCUCAAUAUACAUUACCGCAGGUAAAGCACUGAAUGAGCUAGGGGGCGAAAGCUUACUGAACUCUAUCAAACUAAGAAUGGCGGAUAAUGAAAUAUUGGGAGUCACACUACGUGAGAUAAGUUUCGUGGUGGAAAGGGAAACAGCCCAGACCCACAGCUAAGGUCCCAAAGUACGGUUAAGUGGAAAAGGAUGUGGAGUUGCACAGACAACCAGGAUGUUGGCUCAGAAGCAGCCACUCAUUUAAAGAGUGCGUAAUAGCUCACUGGUCGAGUGAUUCUGCGCCGAAAAUUUAACGGGGCUAAAUUGUACACCGAAGCUUGGGAUACAUCUAAUGUAUGGUAGGAGAGCGUUGUAUACGGGGUGAAGUCAGAGCGGAAGCGCUGGUGGACUGUAUACAAGUGAGAAUGCCGGAAUGAGUAGCGAGAAUUAUGUGAGAAUCAUAAUGGCCGAAAGACUAAGGUUUUAGAAGGAAGGUUCGUCCGCUUCUAGUUAGCCGGGAGCUAAGGCGAGGCCGAAAGGCGUAGUCGAUGCACAUACGGUUGAGAUUCCGUAGCCACCUACGAUUUAAACUAAAGGACACAUCUGAAGGGCAUGACCCGGGCGUUGGUAGACCCGGGCGUAAGGGACCGAAAACAAGUAGGGAAGCAUGUUUGGAAGGUGGCGAGAAAAGUUUAGUGUAUAUAAUGUAGGUGCCCGUACUGCAAACCGACACAGGUAGUCAGGAAGAGAAUUCUAAGGCCAUCGGGAGAAGCGUUGUUAAGGAACUCGGCAAAUUGACCCCGUAACUUCGGAAUAAGGGGUGCUCACGAGAGUGAGCCGCAGUGAAUAGGUCCAGGCGACUGUUUAUCAAAAACACAGCUCUCUGCUAAAUCGAAAGAUGACGUAUAGGGGGUGACACCUGCCCGGUGCUGGAAGGUUAAGAGGAAGGGUGCAAGCUCUGAAUUGAAGCCCCAGUAAACGGCGGCCGUAACUAUAACGGUCCUAAGGUAGCGAAAUUCCUUGUCGGGUAAGUUCCGACCCGCACGAAUGGUGUAACGAUCUGGGCACUGUCUCAACUACCCACCCGGCGAAAUUGUAGUACCGGUGAAGAUGCCGGUUACCCGCGGCAAGACGGAAAGACCCCAUGGAGCUUUACUGUAACCUGAUAUUGGGUUUCGGUAUUUUAUGUACAGGAUAGGUGGGAGACUAUGAAACUAAGGCGCCAGCCUUAGCGGAGUCGCCCUUGGGAUACCACUCUUAAAGUACUGAAAUUCUAACCUGCGGCCGUGAAUCCGGUCGGGGGACAUUGUCAGGCGGGCAGUUUGACUGGGGCGGUCGCCUCCAAAAGAGUAACGGAGGCGCUCAAAGGUUCG
RNAcentral lists this ribosomal RNA (1508 nucleotides) under human gut metagenome. Its description in RNAcentral is "bacterial LSU rRNA". It matches the Rfam family "Bacterial large subunit ribosomal RNA", at positions 725 to 2320 of the family's 2925-position model. The record is from RNAcentral.